GAUGAACGCUGGCGGCGUGCCUAAUACAUGCAAGUCGAACGAACGGACGAUAAUCUUGCGUCUCUGAUGUUAGCGGCGGACGGGUGAGUAACGCGUGUAUAACCUACCUAUAAUUCUGGGAAAACUUCGGGAAACCGGCGCUAAUACCGUAUGAGAUUUUGAACCACAGGGGUCGAAGGUGAAAGACGGUCUUUCUGUCACGUAUAGAUGGAUCCCCGCUGCAUGAGCGAGUUGGUAGGGUAAAGGCUUACCACGGCGACGAUGCAUAACCGAACUGACAGGGUGAUAGGCCACACUGGAAGUGAGACACGGUCCAGACGCCUACGGGAGGCAGCAGUAGGGAAUGUUACGCAACGGGGGAAAGCAUGACGGAGCAACGCCGCGUGAGUGACGACGGCCUUCGGAUCGUAAAAACCUGUUACUAGGGAAGAACCUAUGUGUAAGUAAAUGUGGCGAUAGUGACGGUAACUAAUCAGAAAGCACCGGCUAACUACGUG
RNAcentral lists this ribosomal RNA (497 nucleotides) under uncultured bacterium. Its description in RNAcentral is "partial 16S ribosomal RNA". It matches the Rfam family "Bacterial small subunit ribosomal RNA", at positions 28 to 507 of the family's 1533-position model. The record is from RNAcentral.